This 734-nucleotide ribosomal RNA is filed under the name uncultured Cellulosimicrobium sp. RNAcentral describes it as "bacterial SSU rRNA". It matches the Rfam family "Bacterial small subunit ribosomal RNA", at positions 28 to 776 of the family's 1533-position model. Lineage: Bacteria; Bacillati; Actinomycetota; Actinomycetes; Micrococcales; Promicromonosporaceae. The record is from RNAcentral.
GACGAACGCUGGCGGCGUGCUUAACACAUGCAAGUCGAACGAUGAUGCCCAGCUUGCUGGGCGGAUUAGUGGCGAACGGGUGAGUAACACGUGAGUAACCUGCCCUUGACUUCGGGAUAACUCCGGGAAACCGGGGCUAAUACCGGAUAUGAGCCGUCCUCGCAUGGGGGUGGUUGGAAAGUUUUUCGGUCAGGGAUGGGCUCGCGGCCUAUCAGCUUGUUGGUGGGGUGAUGGCCUACCAAGGCGACGACGGGUAGCCGGCCUGAGAGGGCGACCGGCCACACUGGGACUGAGACACGGCCCAGACUCCUACGGGAGGCAGCAGUGGGGAAUAUUGCACAAUGGGCGAAAGCCUGAUGCAGCGACGCCGCGUGAGGGAUGAAGGCCUUCGGGUUGUAAACCUCUUUCAGCAGGGAAGAAGCGCAAGUGACGGUACAUGCAGAAGAAGCGCCGGCUAACUACGUGCCAGCAGCCGCGGUAAUACGUAGGGCGCAAGCGUUGUCCGGAAUUAUUGGGCGUAAAGAGCUCGUAGGCGGUUUGUCGCGUCUGGUGUGAAAACUCGAGGCUCAACCUCGAGCUUGCAUCGGGUACGGGCAGACUAGAGUGCGGUAGGGGAGACUGGAAUUCCUGGUGUAGCGGUGGAAUGCGCAGAUAUCAGGAGGAACACCGAUGGCGAAGGCAGGUCUCUGGGCCGCAACUGACGCUGAGGAGCGAAAGCAUGGGGAGCGAACAGG